RNAcentral lists this unclassified non-coding RNA (4264 nucleotides) under Pomacea canaliculata. RNAcentral describes it as "uncharacterized LOC112573375, transcript variant X2". The record is from RNAcentral. Lineage: Eukaryota; Metazoa; Mollusca; Gastropoda; Architaenioglossa; Ampullariidae.
UUUCAUCCUUCUAUUCCAAUGAAUGCAUAGCAUAGAGAUAAAAUUGCUGAACCACGUCAAGCAUGACCACCGAGUGUAAGCGAAACCCUAGCUUUGUAAUCAAAAGGCCUCGACUUUCUGUUAUUCGGUGUGGCUUGACUCUUGUGUGCAGACACUAUGCAUGUUGCAUACACGCACGGUCGCCAGUACUCAAAAGGCUGUUGCCACAGAGGUCUUCAGGGUGGGGCCCGGUGUUGACAAUCAGGCCAGCUUACCAGGACGCCGCCCAGCAUGGAGAACUUUAUACAGCGCAGCUCCAGCACGUGAGUGUUGGAGAAGAGAUGGACAUCAUCAAGCGUAAAGCCCAAAGACAGGAUCAUGACCAGCCAAAGUAGGCAAGGCUUCAUGCUUGAUCAGUUGCCCUGGUCAAGGAAAACCUCGCACCCCUUCGAAAGGGGAAAACGUAAAAGGAUACCAAUAGAACCAGAUCGCCUACAGUUGCGCUAAGAGAAUGAGCAUCCAUCGGCACGUGAACGAGCUCACCCAUGCGUUGAAAUUAUAAAACGUGAGAUAUUUUGGGACUGGAAGAAGUCAGAUGGACGGGCUUUGGAGAAACAGCAACUGACGAAGGCCACAAACUCUGGUACAGCGGGGAGGAAACCAAAUGCGAGUAGGACGUGGGCGUCCUCUUACGGAAGAAAGUGAUAGGAGCAUUCAUCAGCUGUUCACCUAUCUCCGGCAGAGCGAUCUCAAUUCGAAUCUCUGUCUGGCUUACAAUGUCACCAUUAUCAAGGUUUACGCUCCGAAUUCCACGCACAACGAUCAUGAAGGGGAAGAAUUCUAUGAACAGCUGGAAUGAGUCCAAAGAUGAAUUUUCUCGUAGUGUUUGGCGGCUGCAACGUGUCGGCCUGAACUCGUAAAUUCGGUAUAGAAAAACUUAAUCUCAGAGCCCUAAGGUUCCUAGAGUUUGCACAGACUUUCCCUAGCCAAUAGCUUUCAUUCCCAUAAAACAUCGAGUAAUGCGACCUGGCGAUCCCCAGAUGGUCCAGUCUAUAACUAUAUCAACUGCCUAGAUGUUUCAAAUCUAUCAUCAGUCAGGUCAAAAACGAGCGACCACAACCUUUUCUUAAGAAGCCUGUAGUUGAAGCUGAAGGUGAAUCGCCGUAAUCCAACCCCCAAAUUUGCUUUGACCUCUUAAGGUGCGAGACACAAACGAAGAAGAAACAACCUGUGUGACCAAAGACUCUCAUCGAAGCUGGUCAGCAAAAUAGGUCAAUCAUCGAUGACAACAAUGGUCACCUUCCAUAUGAAAAGGCUGUACUAAACCGAUGGACUAAUUAUUAUACAGGUUCUCUUUGAGGACAGAUGCUAACAAUCUCCAAGGCAACCAAACUGCGACCAGUGACCCUGCAGACCCCGGGGUUGAGAACGUCCCAGUGGAGUUGAUCAAACGUGGCUGGGAAGAAAAAGUGAAUAUUUACCACGCUGUGAUGGCAGGCAUCAGCAGGGAGUUACAGGACCACACAAACAGGCUGAGAGACAACGCCAGUGUAUACCGGAUGGAGAUCAGCACGGACAAGAGUAAAGUGAUGUAAACACCACCGGGCACUGCAGAGCGGACAUCUACAUAAUCAAAGUAGAGGCGGAGGAGGUAACAGCUUCAAGUGCAUGUGUGCUACGCUUUCCAAAAAUGGCAGCUGAGCAGCUGACGUCGCCUCAGGACAACAGCGACUGCAGCAAUGGCCAAGCUGAACAAAAUACAGGGGAGAAAAUUAUCCUGCUGUACAGGCUGUGAGACGUAAGCUCUGUUUAGUGAGACGGAAAGACGGAUCCAAGAAUUCAAUAUCAAAUACUUGAGAAAACUGCUAUUAAUCUGUUACGGAGAACACAAAACCACUGAUUUCGUAUGGAGUGCGAUAGCCACCAUUGCGGGUCCUCAUGAAACUCUGCUCACAAAAGUGAAACGGCACCAGUUGUUUUGCUUUGGUGAUGUCGUCCUACCCUACACUCCAGGGCUCCGUGAAAGGUGGCUGCCCUCAAAGAAGACAGAAUAAACCUGCACGGCGAACAAAAAGGAGUUAACGGGUCGCUUUACACGGGAUCUAAACACUGCCGUUACAGGUGGCGCACCGUUGCCACUUCUGCCACGGCCACUGGUCCCCCGACUCUCGGCACCGGCAGGUCAGUUCCACUGGCAGGCCAGCUUAUCUGAUGAGCAGCUGGCACCAGCCAAGGGAAGGAUGAAGAUGAUUUUCUAUAUGCCACGUGUUGUUGACAGUACGAUGCUGAGAUAUAGCAAGUGUUGUGUUAUUUUUUUCUUUCAUCAGUAAUGCUUCAGUUUAAGAUUCAGUUAAUAAAUAAAGAAAGGAAGAGAGAAAUAAACAACAACAAACCCCAAAGUAACGGUGUGAAUAUACGAGAGUGCAUAUAUCCGUGUCUCAUGGUCAACUGCCAUGCGUACGUUUGUAAAUUAAAAUUCGAGUAAAGUCUCACGCAGUCAAACUGUUCUAAGGUUUUGCCAUCUUUGCUAAAGAAUUCCUGAUGAAAAUCCAACAAUGUGAACAAAGUAUAAUGAAAUAUAUUACGAUUAUAUAAAAAUAGCGUUCACUUGUAAAGCGUGAUCUCAACAGACAAGAUCAUUUCGCUGUGCGUGUCACAGUAAUUUACCACAGUGACCCUUAACCCUUAAAGCGUUGACAGAAACUUGACUGUUAACAAAUAAGCUCUAUUUUCUGCCCUUUAGUUACAUAUGAGAGAAAACUGAGGGGUACAGAAAGGCUUUUACUAGUAACCUCCUUUCUGUUUGCUUAUAUUUUUACUUUGUCCUAAAUGUUGCUUUCACAUUUAAAAAAAUAAGCGGGGGACAGCAAAUCAUUUGCUGCGGAAAUCAUAAAAAGAGCGUAGUAUGCGAUCAUAAAGCAUAAGUAAAACAGUUUAAACUAUUAUUUUAAACACACAACUACAAUAACAUUUGAAAGAUCUUCCUUGAAAGGAAAAGACAGCUGUAAGAAACAAAACGGCUUGCUGUUUGUAAACACGAUGUUUGUCCGAUAAAGGAGAACGAGAUGGAAUAUAGACGGGGGUUCCCUGAUACUAUAUCAAUGCAUCAGUUUUAAGAAAACACUGUGACAAGAAGGUUACGCACUUGAUCCCGAAUAACCGCAUUACCAGGUGCUCCAGCUAUGGCUAUAAACACCCGGGAUUAUUACUAAGAAUCAUUUUAUAACCUGUUUUUCUUCGUUACAAGUGCACGUUUCUGUAUCGGUACACGGAGUGGUAUAUACGUUUAAUGAUGGACGUAAUGUUUUUAUCUAAUUCAUUUUUUUUUAUAACUUUAGAACCCAAUUUUUAUGGGUUUUCCUUCCUUUGCUAAGAAUGAUACAUAUUGAAAUUAAAUAAUGCUUUACUUUAUAAUGUUCUGUUUCCUUAUGCGUAAUAUGCUAAAUACUAAUAAUAUCAAUGUUGCCUGAAGAUGUGUGUGUAUUUCUAUUCAUAAUUAUGGAAUAUGCAGGGGAACAAAAGAUAAGUGAGAACUAUAAUGCCAGCACUCCCACUGCACAGAUAAGAAAACGACUUGACACUGUUUUCUUCUUAUAAGAAUUGAGAAUUUUAUAAAUAAAGCAGAAUGUGGCUAUAUAUAUAUAUACUUACACAAAUAUGCUGUUAUGUGCAAAAUAACUGUUUCCUAUAUUUUCAUUUAGUCAAAACUCUCUUGUGCUAAAUUUGUGGUUAAUUUUACUGUCAUUUCCUUUUCUUGAGGCUUUUGCAUCCCCACCGAAAAUGCUGAAGAUUUAUACCCACUCUUUCUUUUCCCUCUCCCCAUGCUUUCUCUAUUUAGGCAUACGACGAUCCCUCACCCAUUACCAAGGAAUUGUAGUCAGCGAAGUAAAUAAAAUAACUGCUCAGUUUACUUGCACUAGUGUUUCUUAACAUGAUUACCAAGGGCUCCACAAACAGCUCGUGAUGCAAUGUACGGCGCUCUGUUGCGCAACAACCUGCAGGUUGGAGGCAGAUGUGAGAUGCGAUUAACUCAAGUAGCUUUCGACAUCUUCAGCCAUCCCCUUUAGGUAACCUCUAUCGCUGUCUUGUGAAAUAAUAGCUUAGUCCAUAAUACCGCGGCAUUUGGAGCCAGCUUCCUGCUUACGAAAACAGGAUCUACACCUGCACGAGUAGUCGUGAAAGCAAGCUGAUAAACUCACUAACCUUUAUAAAUGAUUCAUAAAUAAACCCCGAAAUAAUAUUUUGUCAGAGAUAUCUGAAAGACAUAAAGUUUUAGAACACUUUA